Molecule: ribosomal RNA, 1436 nt
Filed under: uncultured bacterium
Lineage: Bacteria
Description: bacterial SSU rRNA
Rfam family: Bacterial small subunit ribosomal RNA
Source: RNAcentral
UUAGAGUUUGAUCCUGGCUCAGGAUGAACGCCGGCGGUGUGCCUAAUACAUGCAAGUCGUACGCACUGGCCCAACUGAUUGAUGGUGCUUGCACCUGAUUGACGAUGGAUCACCAGUGAGUGGCGGACGGGUGAGUAACACGUAGGUAACCUGCCCCGGAGCGGGGGAUAACAUUUGGAAACAGAUGCUAAUACCGCAUAACAACAAAAGCCACAUGGCUUUUGUUUGAAAGAUGGCUUUGGCUAUCACUCUGGGAUGGACCUGCGGUGCAUUAGCUAGUUGGUAAGGUAACGGCUUACCAAGGCGAUGAUGCAUAGCCGAGUUGAGAGACUGAUCGGCCACAAUGGAACUGAGACACGGUCCAUACUCCUACGGGAGGCAGCAGUAGGGAAUCUUCCACAAUGGGCGCAAGCCUGAUGGAGCAACACCGCGUGAGUGAAGAAGGGUUUCGGCUCGUAAAGCUCUGUUGUUGGAGAAGAACGUGCGUGAGAGUAACUGUUCACGCAGUGACGGUAUCCAACCAGAAAGUCACGGCUAACUACGUGCCAGCAGCCGCGGUAAUACGUAGGUGGCAAGCGUUAUCCGGAUUUAUUGGGCGUAAAGCGAGCGCAGGCGGUUGCUUAGGUCUGAUGUGAAAGCCUUCGGCUUAACCGAAGAAGUGCAUCGGAAACCGGGCGACUUGAGUGCAGAAGAGGACAGUGGAACUCCAUGUGUAGCGGUGGAAUGCGUAGAUAUAUGGAAGAACACCAGUGGCGAAGGCGGCUGUCUGGUCUGCAACUGACGCUGAGGCUCGAAAGCAUGGGUAGCGAACAGGAUUAGAUACCCUGGUAGUCCAUGCCGUAAACGAUGAGUGCUAGGUGUUGGAGGGUUUCCGCCCUUCAGUGCCGGAGCUAACGCAUUAAGCACUCCGCCUGGGGAGUACGACCGCAAGGUUGAAACUCAAAGGAAUUGACGGGGGCCCGCACAAGCGGUGGAGCAUGUGGUUUAAUUCGAAGCUACGCGAAGAACCUUACCAGGUCUUGACAUCUUGCGCUAACCUUAGAGAUAAGGCGUUCCCUUCGGGGACGCAAUGACAGGUGGUGCAUGGUCGUCGUCAGCUCGUGUCGUGAGAUGUUGGGUUAAGUCCCGCAACGAGCGCAACCCUUGUUACUAGUUGCCAGCAUUAAGUUGGGCACUCUAGUGAGACUGCCGGUGACAAACCGGAGGAAGGUGGGGACGACGUCAGAUCAUCAUGCCCCUUAUGACCUGGGCUACACACGUGCUACAAUGGACGGUACAACGAGUCGCAAGCUCGCGAGAGUAAGCUAAUCUCUUAAAGCCGUUCUCAGUUCGGACUGUAGGCUGCAACUCGCCUACACGAAGUCGGAAUCGCUAGUAAUCGCGGAUCAGCAUGCCGCGGUGAAUACGUUCCCGGGCCUUGCACACACCGCCCGUCA